GGCUUUGUAGUGUAGUGGUUAUCACAGCGGAUUCUGACCAUUUGGACAAUUCCGCUAACUCAGGUUCGAGUCCUGACAAGGCCU
Non-coding RNA from Rhodofomes roseus, 84 nucleotides. The record is from the annotation of a RefSeq genome assembly. Lineage: Eukaryota; Fungi; Basidiomycota; Agaricomycetes; Polyporales; Fomitopsidaceae.